AAGAAAGGCCUUCCAGAGACUAUCUCACCUGGGAAUCCAUCCCAUAUACAGCUCUUAUUGGAGGAUCCAAACAAAAGCAUACCAACCUCAUGUAUUUGAAGGACAAGGACCACCAUGUUACCUGCUUGUAGAAACUGGAACCACAGUCAAUCAAGGGGGGUGAAAAACAUAAAUUCAUCUAAUCUAGGAUGAAAUACUGAGAAGAAUGUGUCACAGUCAAGAAAUACCAUAGCAAAUGAUCACUGGAGGAAUCAAGAGGUUUAUUCUUGGGAAUUGUAUUGAAGAAGCUGGCUUGAUUCCUGGAUAGCAGUGGUAAAAGCAAACCCAAGUGGAGACAUCUCUCUAGAAAGAUUCAUGUGAAAAACAACAAAAAAGAAGAGAAAAAUGGAAAAACUAAAGACUGGAGAAUGUAUCAAUUCUGACACAUGAGCAAAUACCAUAAAGAUUUACCCAAAUACAAAUGAGAAAACAUGACAUCACAAUAUCCU
Long non-coding RNA from Mastomys coucha (southern multimammate mouse), 488 nucleotides. RefSeq lists it as uncharacterized. The transcript is spliced from 4 exons. Lineage: Eukaryota; Metazoa; Chordata; Mammalia; Rodentia; Muridae. The record is from RefSeq and is a predicted model, not a curated record.